CAGUUAUUGGAGAAUUUCAAGUUUUAGGACUCUAUGUAAUAUUGCUUUCUAAAAGAAUGGCUCUAUUUUCUUAUUUAUUCAUUGAGUAUAGUUUCUUAUUUAUUCAUCUAGUAUACAAUAUUGUGAUAUCAUACAGUAUUUGUCUUUGACUUAUUUUACUAAGCAUAAUAUUCUCUAGGUUCAUCCACAUUGCUACACGUGGCAGUAUUCUAUUCCUUUUUGUGGCUGAAUAAUAUUCCAUUGUGUAUAUACACUACAUCUUAAUCCAGUUUCUGUUGAAAGGUACUGAGGUUGCUUCCUUAUCUUGGUUAUUAUAAAUAGUGCUAUUCUGAACAUCAGGAUACAAGUAUCUUUCUGAAUUAGGUAUUUUCAUUUUUUUCCCUAUAAGUACCCAGAAGUGGUAUUGUUGGAUCAUAGGAUAGUUCUAUUUUUAAUUUUUAAAAUAAACUUCAUGUGGUUUCCCUUAGUGGCAGUACCAAUUUGCAUUUCCCACCAACAGCAUAUGAGGGUUCCUUUUCCCCACCUCCUCACCAACAUUUGUUUUUUAUAGACUUUUACUACCUGUGGCUCUUACACUUAGUUGUGUAAGGGCAGGAUGCCUUGGCUUCAGGUCUCCACAACUAGACUCGCUCUUUCCUAGUGCUCACCACCUUCACUCUUUCUUCUUUUUUUUCCCUUUUGUUUAGGGCUACACCCAUGGCAUAUGGAAGUACCCAGGCUAUGGGUUGAAUUGGAGGUAUAGCUGCUGGUCUACACCACAGCCAUGGCAACGUGAGAUCCAAGUUGUAUCUGUAACCCCACACCACAGCUCACAGCAAUGCCAGAUCCCCAAUCCACUGCGUGAGGCCAGGGUUUGAACUCGCAUCCUCAUGGAUACUAGUCAGAUUGGUUUCCGCUGUGCCACAAUGGGAACUCCCAACUUCACUCUUUUUAAAUGUCCAUCUCCACACCAUCUUCAGACCUCUCAAACUGAAAUCUCCGCCUUGCCCUAAGGGUUUGUCUUAGCCAUCUCAAGUGAGUCUGCCACAAUGGCUCACAAUUGUUAAAUGUUUAUUAAGUGUUAGAGACUUAUCAAAAAACUGUACAUAGAUUACUUUAGCCAACCUUCACACAAGCCUAUGGAGGCAGGUACAAUUAUUACCAUAGUUCAUCAGUUCUCUGACAUGUUUAUUUCACAUUCUGAAAUAGAAAGGUGUCUUAAAAUGGAGAGUUGGCAGCAUUUUCAGAAACUAUUGGCACAUAAAAUGAUGGUGUAUAUAUUUACAAUCUGUGAAAUCUUAGAUUUGACAUCUUUGUCAGUUGCAGUAUCCCUAUGCAACUGACAAAGAUGCACAAGCUUAGAGAAGUUAAUUUAAGGCCAUGAGGCCAUAUAGUCUUAUUCCAAAGCUCAAUCUCUUAACUAUUACCCUGCAACUCAGGGCAAUGACCCUUCAUGCUUUUCUCCAUAAUUUCAUUUUCACGAUGGUAUUGUUUCAUUUUAAAAUUAAAUGAUUACUUCAUUUUGUGAUUUAAAAGUUAACACAUAGGCAUUGUAAGACUUUAAAAAGCAAAAAAAUGAGAAAGAGACACAAAUCACCUGGAAUCCUACUAAGAUAUUACUAUUGCCGACAUUCUGGUACAUUUCUUCCUGGCUCCCCCUCCCCCACUCCCCAUGUGCACAUUCGCACACAGUUGACCCUUGAACAACCUGGGGGUUAGUGGUGCUGACCCUUUGCGCAGUUGAAAAUCUGCAUAGAAAAUGUAGUCAGCCCUCUGCAUCUGCUUUUCCUCUUUAUCUAUGUUUCCACUUAUGGAUUUCAACCAACCAUGGAUUGUGCAGUACUGUAGUAUUUACUGUUGAAAAAUAUCAGUAGUAUUUGGACGUGACCCAGCACAGUUCAAACCCAUGUUGUUCCAGGGUCAACUGGAUAUUCACAGCACUGGUGGCAUACCACUGAUGUGGUUUUGCAUGCCUCUGUUUAGUACUUUAUGGUGAGCCUUUCUCCAUGUUUUUACAUGUUCUCUAAGUAUAAGACAUUGAAGAGCCCUCUCACUUACCAUUGUGGGUGGGAUUGUACUAUAAUCGGACAUUUAAGUUUUUUCCAAGUUUUCUUUAUGAGUACAAGUGAUGUGCUUACUGUCUCAGGGUUCCAAGAACUGUUUAUACUUCUUUUUUUUUUUUUUUUUUUUUUUUGGUCUUUCUGCCAUUUCUAGGGCCCCACCUGUGGCAUAUGGAGGUUCCCAGGCUAGGGGUCUAAUCGGAGCUGUAGCCACCUGCCUACACCAGAGCCGCAGCAACGUGGGAUCCAAGCCGAGUCUGGGACCUACAUCACAGCUCACGGCAAUGCCGGAUCCUUAACCCACUGAGCAAGGCCAGGGAUCGAACCUGCAACCUCAUGAUUCCUAGUCGGAUUCCUUAACCACUGAGCCAUAAUGGGAACUCCCGUUUAUACUUCUUUUUAAGUUAUCGUGGUCUCCUCAACUUAGCAGCAGAAUGAAAAGAGUCCCUAUCUCCUAUACAGAAGAAGAGCUGUGAGGGAGUUUCCAUUGCGGUGCAGCAGAAACCAAUCUGACUAGUAUCCAUGAGGAUGCGGGUUUGAUCCCUGGCCUUGCUCAGUGGGUUGGGGAUCUGGUGUUGCCAUGAGCUGUGUCAUGGAUCACAGAUGUGGCUUGGAUCCUGAGUUGCUGUGCUUGUGGUGUAGACUGGCAGCUGUAGCUCUAAUUUGACCUAUAGCCUGGGAACUUUCAUAUGCUGUGGGUGCAGCAAGAAAGAAAGAAAGAAAGAAAGAAAAGGAAGAAAGGAAGAAAGGAAGAAAGGAAGAAAGAAAGAAAGAAAGAAAGAAAGAAAGAAAACAACUGUGAGCAUGAAGUAUCUGAAAAAUCCAGAGCUGAGGCAGGAAAUAUUUCCCUAAAGAGACCACCCGUGGCUUCCUCUGGACCUGCUACUUGGUAUUAUUCAGCCUCUUUGGGAGUCGAUUUUAUCCACUAGAAAAGGCCCAGGUGGUCAAGACUAGGAAAUCUGAUCUAAACCUUUUUUUUCAGUCUAAUUUUCUUUUUACCUCUUCUUAGUACUGUCAACCAAGAGGGAAAAUCAGCAAGUAAUCAUUAUAGCAGAGCUUAGUCUUAAAAAAGGUCGCGGGGGACCACAGAAAGGGAAUUUUAAGAGGGCCUUAGGAAGACCAUACCUUCCUGACAGCUCAUCCAGUAAUCCCCAGAAAGAAAUUCUGUACAUAUUCCCACCUUCAGAAAAUAACUGCUGUCAACUGUGGUUGUUAUUUCUCUGCUACAGUCAUGUUUACGAUUGUGAUUAAAAUGUGUCUCGAAAAUUAAUGUCUUUGGGGAACUAAGGGACAUUUACUUAGUACCCCCAAAUAAGUUUUCAAUAACAUCUUUCAAUUUUCAUUUAAACCUAGAACUCUUCAAGUAAUCAUAACUUUUUUCCAAGUGAUGCUAAAGCACCCCACUAUCUCUCACUGUUCUGUCCUCAUCCGUACCAGCUACCUGUCAACUACAUAUGUGACACUUGGCGAGGUGCUCUCGGGACCACCAGGUGCAAAUACUGCUUUCCCGGAGCCUGUCAACUGUGGCAACGUUUGAGUCUAUUAGGGAUCAGGGUGGUAGAACGAGAAUGAUUGGGGUUUCUUAGUUCUGUGGGGGUAAGUCCAAUAGAGAAAAUCUAUUUGUAUAAAUAAUGCCUUCUAGAAUUCACAUUUCAGAAAUUCAGUGUGGAUUCAGUCCUAAUUCUUCCUCUUUGGUAUUAAAUAAUGAAUAUUUGUCUCGAUGGUAAUGGGUGCCCUUUUCAGGAUGGCUCUCAAAAUGUAGCUAAAGCCUAAUCCCUGUGCACAAAACAUUUACCUUUUAAUACAGGGAGAGAGAUUUCUUUAGACUCACCACAACCCAAGGUGUUAUCUGAAGAGCUCAAAUGAGAGAUCCCACAUUCAAAGGAAAACUGAUGAAGGGCUUAUUGGGGACUUGACUGAAAGCUGAUUAGGAAUUUAGCCCUAGAGUUGGGCAAAAGGACCAUUUUGAAAAAAGACUCCAAAGGGGAAAAUACUAGAGUGAAUUUGGGAACCUUUGUAGAUGGCUGAAAAAUAGGAAGUAUGUCCUGAUAUGUAAGACCAAUUUUCUAUUUAAUAUUUCAGUUUAAGUAAAUGUACAACCGAGGUGACAAUCCCUGUACAUUUCUUGCGAAAUGAGAUGGGUUAUAUGCAUACCUAAUUCAUGCCAUAGGACCAAAUAGAACUAAAGUUAUUUUUAAAAUCAUUCCUGGUAGCUUAAUUUAAAGGCAUGAUCAUUAUUUUUAUCUCUCAAGUUGGCAGGCUUUGGCUGACAAGAAGGAAAACUUUUUGGAACUAUGUAAUUUUUAGUUUUUUAUAUCACAGUUUUCCAAUAAUAUAAAAUUUGCCUUUCCCUACUUUGUGUAAGAAAAAUAGACACUGGCCCCUGUAGGCUAGUGGAGCACUGAACAACGCAUUUACUCUCAUUUUAUUAUUAUGCAAUCGCGUUUUCUUUACUCAUUAGCUGAUAAUGUUUUUAUCGGUCUAAGACACGCACAACUGUAUUACCUUCUCUGGAGACUUAAGCAAUUAGCAGGCAAACCUCAGGGAAGGGGUUGCUUGGCUUUACCCAGGAGAGCUAGUUGUUUGCACCAAACAGUUGCUCCCUUCAAAAAAAUUCUCCCCGUGAUGAUGUUUGGGUUGUUUUUGAAUUUGAAAUCUUUGCCUGGCAAAGAUGCUAUGAUUACAACAUGUUAUACCAUCAAACAAAUUUGUAUGAUUUCUAAAGCUCAUUUAGGCAUUGUAGUAAAGUGAUAUUAAAGUUUCACUUUUAGUUAUUGUGAUUUCCCUUUUCUUCAGUUGAUUUAAAAUUGCCUCUUUUAGAUACAGAAUAAAAUAUGUGCAAGUUUCUUGUGUGUGAUCAAAGAGGCAUUUUCAAGGUCUCUGUCUUGGUUGGAAAUGACGGGAGUUCCUGAGAGACAAAGAAUUCAACUUAAUUGCUUUUAUAUAGAUUAUUCUAAUAUUAUAAUGCUUAACUACCGUGAUUUGAUUUAACAUAGCUAUAAAUUUUACUUAUUUUGGUUUAUUUUUAGGGCCACACCUGCGACAUAUAGAAGUUCCCAGGCAAAGGGGUGAAUCAGAGCUACAGCUGCUGGCCUAUAUCACAGC
This 5144-nucleotide long non-coding RNA is filed under the name Sus scrofa (pig). RNAcentral describes it as "lncRNA (ENSSSCG00060028758.1)". Lineage: Eukaryota; Metazoa; Chordata; Mammalia; Artiodactyla; Suidae. The record is from RNAcentral.